Molecule: ribosomal RNA, 254 nt
Filed under: uncultured bacterium
Lineage: Bacteria
Description: partial 16S ribosomal RNA
Rfam family: Bacterial small subunit ribosomal RNA
Source: RNAcentral
GACGAACCGAGCGAACGUUGUUCGGAAUCACUGGGCUUAAAGGGCGCGUAGGCGGGUGCUCAAGUCCGUGGUGAAAUCCUCCGGCUCAACCGGAGAACUGCCUCGGAUACUGGGCGUCUCGAGUGUGGUAGGGGUAUGCGGAACUAUCGGUGGAGCGGUGAAAUGCGUUGAUAUCGAUAGGAACUCCGGUGGCGAAGGCGGCAUACUGGACCACCACUGACGCUGAUGCGCGAAAGCCAGGGGAGCAAACGGGG